Labrus mixtus (cuckoo wrasse) is the source of this 730-nucleotide long non-coding RNA. RefSeq lists it as uncharacterized. NCBI's taxonomy places the organism in Eukaryota, Metazoa, Chordata, Actinopteri, Labriformes, Labridae. The record is from RefSeq and is a predicted model, not a curated record. The transcript is spliced from 3 exons.
UAUCAGAUUCCCAGAAAAACAAACAGAUGUGGCAACGUGAUCUCAGGUUUACAGCAGGACUUUGAUCAGGAAGUUAAUUUUGCUGAGGUGAGCUGAGGUGAGAGGAUUCGUCGACGCAUUAUACUCAGGAUGUUCUGCAGAAUGGAUGGAUUCUUCUUUAAACCAAAGCGCUGUACCUUCAGUGUUUUGGUUUUACAGAACAUUGUGAUGCUCCUUUUGUUGACUGAAUCCUAUAGAGGAGAAUCUCAGGGGGUUGGACCAUCUCAGACAAUAACAGCAUUAGUUGGUGAAGACGUUAUCCUGCCAUGCCAACUUGAACCUGCAGUAGAUGCUGUUUCCAAGAUUGUGGAGUGGGGAAGACCUGAUCUAGAACCAAGAUUUGUCCAUGACAUGAAGGUCAAAACCUUUUGGACAACCAGAAUCCAUCAUACAAAGGAAGAACAUCAGUGUCUGUGGACAAACUGAGACAUGGAGACCUUUCCCUGAAACUGUCUGCAGUGAGACUCUCUGAUAAUGGAGUCUAUAGAUGCUACUUUCCCUCACAGAAGAAACAGUCUACUGUUGAGCUUGUUGUUGGUAAGUUAUGUAUAUGUGGUAAAAACAUUCCGACAUAACUCAGAUUCAAGGGCCUCCAAUAGAGCUGUACCUUCACAUGUUUGUAUCCAUUAGACAUGAAACUCCCAUAUAAUAGUGAGAAGCUUGCAUUGAGUGUCUUUUAGUUUUAUAGUCU